Molecule: ribosomal RNA, 638 nt
Filed under: Salmonella enterica subsp. enterica serovar Enteritidis
Lineage: Bacteria; Pseudomonadati; Pseudomonadota; Gammaproteobacteria; Enterobacterales; Enterobacteriaceae
Description: partial 23S ribosomal RNA
Rfam family: Bacterial large subunit ribosomal RNA
Source: RNAcentral
ACGGGAGACACACGGCGGGUGCUAACGUCCGUCGUGAAGAGGGAAACAACCCAGACCGCCAGCUAAGGUCCCAAAGUCAUGGUUAAGUGGGAAACGAUGUGGGAAGGCCCAGACAGCCAGGAUGUUGGCUUAGAAGCAGCCAUCAUUUAAAGAAAGCGUAAUAGCUCACUGGUCGAGUCGGCCUGCGCGGAAGAUGUAACGGGGCUAAACCAUGCACCGAAGCUGCGGCAGCGACACUGUGUGUUGUUGGGUAGGGGAGCGUUCUGUAAGCCUGUGAAGGUGUGUCGUGAGGCAUGCUGGAGGUAUCAGAAGUGCGAAUGCUGACAUAAGUAACGAUAAAGCGGGUGAAAAGCCCGCUCGCCGGAAGACCAAGGGUUCCUGUCCAACGUUAAUCGGGGCAGGGUGAGUCGACCCCUAAGGCGAGGCCGAAAGGCGUAGUCGAUGGGAAACGGGUUAAUAUUCCCGUACUUGGUGUUACUGCGAAGGGGGGACGGAGAAGGCUAUGUUGGCCGGGCGACGGUUGUCCCGGUUUAAGCGUGUAGGUGUGUGUUCCAGGUAAAUCCGGUUCACUUUAACACUGAGGCGUGACGACGAGGCACUACGGUGCUGAAGCAACAAAUGCCCUGCUUCCAGGAAAA